This is a long non-coding RNA of Mustela lutreola (European mink), 662 nucleotides long. RefSeq lists it as uncharacterized. The transcript has 3 exons. NCBI's taxonomy places the organism in Eukaryota, Metazoa, Chordata, Mammalia, Carnivora, Mustelidae. The record is from RefSeq and is a predicted model, not a curated record.
CCAGGAUGCAUCACAUGGGCCAGCAGCCCAUCCUGCAGCCGGCUGGGAGACGCAGAUGCCCCACCAGCGGUGGGACAAGCCAUGGGGUCUCCCCUACCCCUCCCUCCCUGCCCAAGUCUUGUCCCAGAAAGCAUGUCCCGAGUGAGCUAAGUUGGACCAAACCUCCCUGCCUUCCCCCGUCAUCUCUCGAUCGAUGGCCUGGGGGGAGUUGCCAGGAUGCGGCUGGAGGCAGGCACCGAACAUCAACCUCCCCUGGGAGGGAGAGCACGGGGCUGGUGGGCUCUGCAUCUCCACAGACACCCAGCAAGGAGGUGGCAUCAAUAGCCCACUUUGCAGAGAAGCUCAUGCUUACCCAGGGGUCACAGCUAGGGGAAGAGGCUUGGCAGCUCCUCACGAGAAGACAGCCUUGACUGGCAUUUGGAACUGAAGGCAAUUCCUCUCACCAGCCACAUGGAAGGUCUCAGUCCUCAGUUUCCCCAAGUAUAAGUCUAGGGGCCGUGCCCCUGCUCCCUUGCUGCUCUGGCGGCUUGUGGGGAAUUACAUGGGUACAGAGUACCUGGUGUGUGCCUGGCCAGUAGUGGGCGCUCAGAGGGCACAGCCCUCACCCCUCUGCUCCUGCCCAUACCUGGACCAAAGCUGUGGUCUGCACAAAAUCAGGCCAA